Molecule: transfer RNA, 73 nt
Filed under: Exaiptasia diaphana
Lineage: Eukaryota; Metazoa; Cnidaria; Anthozoa; Actiniaria; Aiptasiidae
Description: tRNA-Phe
Rfam family: tRNA
About the family: Transfer RNA (tRNA) molecules are approximately 80 nucleotides in length. Their secondary structure includes four short double-helical elements and three loops (D, anti-codon, and T loops).
Source: Rfam by way of RNAcentral
GCCGGGAUAGCUCAGUUGGGAGAGCGUCAGACUGAAGAUCUGAAGGUCCCUGGUUCAAUCCCGGGUUCCGGCA